GAGCUGGGUUUAGACCGU
RNAcentral lists this non-coding RNA (18 nucleotides) under Arabidopsis thaliana (thale cress). The record is from RNAcentral. RNAcentral also lists the same sequence under 1 other name. Lineage: Eukaryota; Viridiplantae; Streptophyta; Magnoliopsida; Brassicales; Brassicaceae.